AAUAUAAUUCGAUAAUAUUUUGUUUCCUUUUUUAAAAGAUACUGAAUCUAAAAUGACACAAUCCUAUUGGUUGGUGAAACUAGAAUAAGUCAACAAAAAAUUAGCUUAUGUCGGUAAAACAGUUUAACAAGUCAUUAAUAUAUAUAUAUAUUAUUUUAUAUAGUAAAAUUCUUUAAGUGAUUAGUUACAAUCCCUACAAAAAGGGAACCACUACUACAAUCCCAAAUAAAACGUUAACGAAUUAAUUAAAAGGUAGCAUCUACUUAAGAAAGAAAAGUAUGAUAUUUUGUAGCUUUAACCUCAACAAACUCUCUUUUCUCUCAAAGUUUUCAUCUUCAUCUUUUUUUUCUUUCAGUUUCUUAAACUUUCUAUCAAAAGUAUGUGUAUUUGUUUUUUCUUAUGAAGAACUUCAAAGGAAACUGGAUUUUUCUAAUCAGAAGAACUUCAAAGGAAACUGGAUUUUUCUAACCAGUGGAAUCUGAUUGAAAUCUUUCAGAGUGUUCUUUGUUACUAGGGUCAAGACUCAAGAGCAUCUAAAAAUAUAUAAGGAGAUGAUUCAAAGUGGAAGAAGCCUAGAAGUCUCAAGGAAUCAAUCGGUGGAGAAUUUUACAAUGAACAAGAAGAAAUAAAGAAGAACCGAAGGAUCUCUACAUUUUAACUUUAGUGUAAAAUUGUGUUUGACUAUUGCAAUUAUUUUCUCUUUUAAAUUCAUCAUUGUGUUUCCUUUAAUUUUAGGCAUGUACAUUUUUUGUUGUUAGUUAGUUAUAUGUUCAAUAUAAAAUAAAAAAUGUUAAUGGAAAA
Brassica napus (rape) is the source of this 801-nucleotide long non-coding RNA. RefSeq lists it as uncharacterized. The transcript is spliced from 2 exons. The record is from RefSeq and is a predicted model, not a curated record. Lineage: Eukaryota; Viridiplantae; Streptophyta; Magnoliopsida; Brassicales; Brassicaceae.